CCCACCCCCAGGCCCCAUGAGAGGGUAGUAUUUCUUCCCCAUUUCCUCUGCGGACUGGGCUUCCCACUUCAUCCCUUUGUCCAGGGGCUCAUGUUCUACUACGGCCUAGAUUUCCAUGAUCUGGCCCCGAAUUUCAUCCUCAACAUCUCGGCGUUUAUCGUCGUGUGCGAGGCCUUCCUCUGCAUCCAGCCCCACUUCGGCUUGUGGCUCAAGACCUUCAGUGUCAAGCCGAAGGUUGUGAAGGGCAGCCAAGCGGAGUGCGGAGGCGCCAUGGUGCGCAGGAUGUCCCACGUUACGUGGCUGGAGGGCACUUUCGUGGAAACCAUCAAGGGGUGGCAAUCGGGGUGGUUCUACAUCACCGAGCCGCGUGACCCUGAUUGGGCAGCGGCCCCCGAAUUCAGAUCCGGCAUCCCUACA
RNAcentral lists this ribosomal RNA (417 nucleotides) under Triticum aestivum (bread wheat). Its description in RNAcentral is "partial small subunit ribosomal RNA". The record is from RNAcentral. Lineage: Eukaryota; Viridiplantae; Streptophyta; Magnoliopsida; Poales; Poaceae.